RNAcentral lists this ribosomal RNA (497 nucleotides) under uncultured bacterium. Its description in RNAcentral is "partial 16S ribosomal RNA". It matches the Rfam family "Bacterial small subunit ribosomal RNA", at positions 28 to 507 of the family's 1533-position model. The record is from RNAcentral.
GAUGAACGCUGGCGGCGUGCCUAAUACAUGCAAGUAGAACGCUGAAGGCAGGAGCUUGCUCUUUCCGGGUGAGUUGCGCACGGGUGAGUAACGCGUAGGUAACCUGCCUGGUAGCGGGGGAUAACUAUUGGAAACGAUAGCUAAUACCGCAUAACAGUAGAUUUUGCAUGAUAUCUACUUAAAAGUUGCAAUUUCACCACUACCAGAUGGACCUUCGUUGUAUUAGCUAGUUGGUGAGGUAACGGCUCACCAAGGCGACGAUACAUAGCCGACCUGAGAGGGUGAGCGGCCAGACUGGGACGGAGACACGGCCCAGACGGCCACGGGAAGGAGCAGUAGGGAAACGGCGGGAAGGGACGGAAGUCUGAGCGAGCAACGCCGAGGGAGUGAAGAAGGUUGUCGGAUCGUAAAGCUCUGUUGUAAGGGAAGAAAGAGUGUGAGAGUGGAAAGUUCAGACAGUGACGGUAACUUACCAGAAAGGGACGGCUAACUACGUG